UUUCGCAAUGCCCGAAAGGGUGACGAAGCGACGCCGCGUGGGUGAGGAAGGCCUUCGGGUUGUAAAGCCCUGCCAGGAGUUAUGAAAUGUAAGUGUGUUAAUACCGUGCUUAUUUGACAAAGGCUCCAAAGGAAGCCACGGCUAACUCUGUGCCAGCAGCCGCGGUAAUACAGAGGUGGCGAGCGUUGUUCGGAAUUAUUGGGCGUAAAGAGCACGUAGGUGGGUUUGCAAGUCAGAUGUGAAAGCCUUCUGUUCAACGGAAGAAUUGCAUCUGAAACUGCUAAUCUUGAGUAUAGGAGGGGAGAAUGGAACUUCUGGUGGAGCGGUGAAAUGCGUAGAUAUCAGAAGGAACGCCGGCGGCGAAAGCGAUUCUCUGGCCUAUUACUGACACUUAGUGUGCGAAAGCUAGGGGAGCAAACGGGAUUAGAUACCCCGGUAGUCCUAGCCGUAAACGAUGGGCACUAAGUAGAGGGGUUUUA
RNAcentral lists this ribosomal RNA (479 nucleotides) under uncultured anaerobic ammonium-oxidizing bacterium. RNAcentral describes it as "bacterial SSU rRNA". It matches the Rfam family "Bacterial small subunit ribosomal RNA", at positions 364 to 833 of the family's 1533-position model. The record is from RNAcentral.